RNAcentral lists this microRNA (23 nucleotides) under Patiria miniata (bat star). RNAcentral describes it as "Pmi-Mir-2008_3p* (star (passenger))". The record is from RNAcentral. Lineage: Eukaryota; Metazoa; Echinodermata; Asteroidea; Valvatida; Asterinidae.
AUCAGCCUCGCUGUCAAUACGAG